AUGAAUCAAAGAAGGUAAUAAUCCUGUAGUCGAAAAUGUUGUCUCUCUUGAGUGGAUCCUGAGUACGACGGAGCACGUGAAAUUCCGUCGGAAUCUGGGAGGACCAUCUCCUAAGGCUAAAUACUCUCUAGUGACCGAUAGUGAACCAGUACCGUGAGGGAAAGGUGAAAAGCACCCCGGAAGGGGAGUGAAAUAGAACCUGAAACCGUGUGCUUACAAGUAGUCAGAGCCCGUUAAUGGGUGAUGGCGUGCCUUUUGUAGAAUGAACCGGCGAGUUACGAUUUGAUGCAAGGUUAAGCAGUAAAUGUGGAGCCGUAGCGAAAGCGAGUCUGAAUAGGGCGUUUAGUAUUUGGUCGUAGACCCGAAACCAGGUGAUCUACCCUUGGUCAGGUUGAAGUUCAGGUAACACUGAAUGGAGGACCGAACCGACUUACGUUGAAAAGUGAGCGGAUGAACUGAGGGUAGCGGAGAAAUUCCAAUCGAACCUGGAGAUAGCUGGUUCUCUCCGAAAUAGCUUUAGGGCUAGCCUCAAGUGAUGAUUAUUGGAGGUAGAGCACUGUUUGGACGAGGGGCCCCUCUCGGGUUACCGAAUUCAGACAAACUCCGAAUGCCAAUUAAUUUAACUUGGGAGUCAGAACAUGGGUGAUAAGGUCCGUGUUCGAAAGGGAAACAGCCCAGACCACCAGCUAAGGUCCCAAAAUAUAUGUUAAGUGGAAAAGGAUGUGGCGUUGCCCAGACAACUAGGAUGUUGGCUUAGAAGCAGCCAUCAUUUAAAGAGUGCGUAAUAGCUCACUAGUCGAGUGACACUGCGCCGAAAAUGUACCGGGGCUAAACAUAUUACCGAAGCUGUGGAUUGUCCUUUGGACAAUGGUAGGAGAGCGUUCUAAGGGCGUUGAAGCAUGAUCGUAAGGACAUGUGGAGCGCUUAGAAGUGAGAAUGCCGGUGUGAGUAGCGAAAGACGGGUGAGAAUCCCGUCCACCGAUUGACUAAGGUUUCCAGAGGAAGGCUCGUCCGCUCUGGGUUAGUCGGGUCCUAAGCUGAGGCCGACAGGCGUAGGCGAUGGAUAACAGGUUGAUAUUCCUGUACCACCUAUAAUCGUUUUAAUCGAUGGGGGGACGCAGUAGGAUAGGCGAAGCGUGCGAUUGGAUUGCACGUCUAAGCAGUAAGGCUGAGUAUUAGGCAAAUCCGGUACUCGUUAAGGCUGAGC
Molecule: ribosomal RNA, 1207 nt
Filed under: Staphylococcus aureus
Lineage: Bacteria; Bacillati; Bacillota; Bacilli; Caryophanales; Staphylococcaceae
Description: partial 23S ribosomal RNA
Rfam family: Bacterial large subunit ribosomal RNA
Source: RNAcentral